GACGAACGCUGGCGGCGUGCUUAACACAUGCAAGUCGAACGGAAAGGCCCUGCUUUUGUGGGGUGCUCGAGUGGCGAACGGGUGAGUAACACGUGAGUAACCUGCCCUUGACUUUGGGAUAACUUCAGGAAAUUGGGGCUAAUACCGGAUAGGAGCUCCUGCUGCAUGGUGGGGGUUGGAAAGUUUCGGCGGUUGGGGAUGGACUCGCGGCUUAUCAGCUUGUUGGUGGGGUAGUGGCUUACCAAGGCUUUGACGGGUAGCCGGCCUGAGAGGGUGACCGGCCACAUUGGGACUGAGAUACGGCCCAGAAUCCUACGGGAGGCAGCAGUGGGGAAUAUUGCACAAUGGGCGGAAGCCUGAUGCAGCAACGCCGCGUGCGGGAUGACGGCCUUCGGGUUGUAAACCGCUUUCGCCUGUGACGAAGCGUGAGUGACGGUAAUGGGUAAAGAAGCACCGGCUAACUACGUG
This 468-nucleotide ribosomal RNA is filed under the name uncultured bacterium. Its description in RNAcentral is "partial 16S ribosomal RNA". It matches the Rfam family "Bacterial small subunit ribosomal RNA", at positions 28 to 507 of the family's 1533-position model. The record is from RNAcentral.